CACACACACACACACACACACGCACACACACACACACACACACACGCACACACAUUUCCUUCAUCAUCACUCUCUCCUCCUUAUUGCCUCUGAGUGAGAGAGAGACACUAGCUUCCUCUGUGUAGUAAAGCUCCAUUAAGCUGCUGCACUGCUACCUGCAGGCAUCACACGCACGCGCCGUACAGACACACGCGUAGUGUGCGCGUGUUCGUGUGUGUGAUCUUCAACCUUUAAGCACUUUGCAUUUUUACCUGCAGUGGACAUCACACACUGUCACGCGUGCACGCGCUUCCUUCGUCACGCACGCACGCACGCACACACGCUCGCGCACGCACGCAGCAGCAGCAGCAGCACCGAGGGAGCGAUCAAUACACUAAAAGCCCGGAGAGGAUUCCACCGGAGCGGACAGAAGAGAACCGGAGGACGACGGCCGGGAACAAUGAAGCACGGCCGCCAUGUCUAAAGCGACAGUGAAGAAGCUGCACUGGCGCUCGAAGGUGCAGGAGAGCUUCGUCCCGCUGGGUGGCGGCUCCAGUGAGCUGGGACUAGCCAUCGGGGGCGGGGCGGACUAUGGCGAGUUCCCAUUUGUCACCGCGGCCCACGGGGGCGGGGCUACUGUGGGCGAUAUCAUUUUAGAGAUCGGGGGGACGCCCGUGUUGGGGAUGACCCUCGGUGAUGUCAGAGGAGUCCUCAACUCCUGUCCUCAUCCAAUCAGAAUCAAGACUGUCUCACCAGGGUCGUCCCUCUGUAAGGACCUCAGGUUGUACCUCAGUAAGUGUUUCACUCCCGGCUCCGUGGACAGUCAGCUGCAGCAGCUCAUCAGAGAGAACCUGUACCUGCGAGCUGUACCCUGUACGACCAGGCAGCCUCGGGACGGGGAGAUCUCAGGUGUGGACUACAACUUCGUGUCCAUCGAGGAGUUCUUCUCCCUGGAGGAGUCCGGCGCUCUGCUGGAGAGCGGCAAGUUCAAAGGGAACUACUACGGGACGCCCCGCCCAGUCCACAUCGGUCCGGAGAGUCCACCAAUCACGUACCAGGAGCACCGAAACCUGCUGAGGAACUUCAGGACCAGGAGCAAGUCUCUGAGUAACCUGGAGAAGGCCGUGGAGGAAGGAGACAACAGCGAGGAGGACAGCGGCCUGUCAGCAGGUUCGGCUGGAGUCCCGCCCACCAUCCUGCCUCUCAGCCAAUCAUGGGAGUCGGCGGUGGGGAAUCGGGAGGGAAUGGAGAACGGAGGAGGAGGAAGAGGAGGAAGAGGAGUAGGAAGAGGAGGAGGAGGAACAGGAGGAGGAGGAGGAAGAGGAGCAGGAGGAGGAGGAACAGGAGGAGGAGGAGGAGCAGGAGGAGGAGGUCCUCUGCCUGAAAACUGGGAGCUGGCGUUCAGUGACUCAGGAGAGGCGUAUUACAUCAAUCAUCACUCAAAGACGACCAGCUGGCUGGAUCCUCGAACUCAGAGCAAAGAGACGACUCCCCUUACAGAACUCCCAGAGUUCAGCGAGCAGCCCGGCCAGCUGAAGGGUUACUCCAUCCACACCCGGCUGUCUAAAGGCCCUCGAGGCUUCGGCUUCAACAUCGUUGGAGGAAGUCGACCCAGAGAGUUCCUCCAGGUGUACAGUGUCACACCUGGAGGACCCCCAGCUCUAAACACAGCGGACAUCCUGGUCUACAUCAACGACAGCUGUGUGCUGGGUCGCUCUCACAAAGAGGUGGUGGAGAUGCUGAAGGCGGUGCCGAUGGGCCAGAGUGUGGACGUGGUGCUGAGGAGAGGAUACCCGAUGCUUUACAACCCGGAUGGGUGUCCCAAGCAGAGCCUGGAGACGCCGCAGACUCCCAGUGAGCCACCCUACCCCCCCAACGUGAACCGCGGCCCGACACAUCUCACCUUCAGCCGAACGCUGGACGCCAACGGCAGCACGCCAGGGCCAAGCCGAACUCCGCCCUCCUACGCUGCUCAGCCAAUGACAAACGGGCUGACGGGCCCGCCGACACCCACUUCCUCUGACCCUCCAUUGGGUCCACCACCCCCCCCAGAGAGGUCAGCAGCCAUCAAUCACAGUGACUCUGAUGGCGGCCUGUCAAACGCUGGAACACGCAGGUCUUCUCUGAUUCGCUACAACAGCAGUACCCUCCCCACCUUCUCCUCCUCCUCCCUCCUCCAACAUCAGAGCUCCAAGUCUUCAGAAAGCGACCUUUCUACGUCAACGCUCCCCAUGUCCUCCUCCACGCUCCCCAUCAGCUCCUCGUCCUCCCACACUCUGUCCAAACUACCCAUCUCUCAGCCAGCGUCCGGCCUCCUCCAAAACUCCACCAGCCCCACUGCCGCUAACAAACCCACCUCCUCUUCACCUCCUGGUGCUCCUGUGCAGCGCCCACCGAUGCCCCAGACUUCUCUCGCCCUGACCCCACCCAGAGACGUCCCAUCCUGCGGCUUCAACGGCUGUCCAGCCAAUCACCAAGUGCCCUCCCCAGCCUCCAGAGUAAACCCUGGGCUGGUGCUCCCCCUCGGGGCAGGGCCGCCAGGAGGAGCUCCUCCUGCAGAGCUGGUACCGGUGGCCCUCGGGCGCAGUGAGAGCGGGGGGCUGGGGUUCAGCGUAAUGGCGGGGGGUCAAGGAGGUCAGCUGGCAGUGGUGAGGCGGGUCUGGGAUCGAAGGCACUGCCCCUCGCUACAGACAGGGGACACUAUAGUGAAGAUCAACGGGGCGGACGUACAGAGCCUCAGUCUCUCUCAGGUCCAGAGAGUCCUGCAAGAACACACCAAACAGGGAGAGGUGGUACUCCUGGUCUACAGAGGAGGUCCCAUGUCUUCCCCAGUCGUCACCCCCAACCUCUACAAGCCCCUGCCCUCCCCACACGGCCUGGCCACCCCCUCUUCUUCCCACCCCCUGCCUUCAGCCGACUUGCCUUCCCCGUCCACGGGUGCCUUGGUGGGGGGCGUCCCCCCACUGAACCAGGCUGGCUUGGUCCUGGAGAGUCCCCAGGAGGGGCACCUACCAGCCCCAGGGACCCACCAAGGAGCCCCUGCUGCCCAGACUCCAAACGGGUCCCCAGUCUCGGCCCUCAUACAGAGCACCAGCUUCCUGGACUCCGUUCCCGUGACGCUGACCUUGGAGCCACGUGAUCUGCUGGGAGUCGAGGAGAGCGCCGGUGGGCCUCCUCCCUUCAGAGGGGGAGUUGGGGGAGGAGCACUGGGAGCAAUAGCCAAGGACGGAAGAGGGGGAGUAAAGACGGUGGAGGUGGAUCUGAGGAGGCGGGCGGGAGAAGGUUUUGGAUUUGUCAUCGCCUCUCAGGAAGUGACCAAUGGGGCCCCCUCCCUGGUGUCCCACCGGUUCGUCACCGUGCGGCGUGGCAGCCCGGCGGCUCGCAGCGAGCAGAUCCAGCCUGGAGACCAGCUGGAGGCCGUAGAGGGUCGAGGGGUCGGAGGUCUGCAGCACCGAGACCUGGCCCAGAUCCUGAGGAGGGCCGGGAACACCCUGAGACUGAGCAUCACCCCCCGACACCACUCGUCCUCUGUGUUGGGAGCAGAGCUGGACAUGAAGUCAUCCAGAGGGAGGUCAAAGGAGUCCAGGUUCUACAAUGUGGAUCUGGAUAGAGGUCCAACAGGGUUCGGGUUUUCUCUGAGGGGGGGCAGCGAGUACAACAUGGGGCUCUAUGUACUGGGACUGAUGGAGGGGGGGCCGGCCCAGCGAAGCAACAAGAUCCAGGUGUCGGACCAGCUGGUGGAGAUAAAUGGAGACAGUACAUCAGGGAUGACUCACAGUCAAGCUGUGGAGCAGAUCAGGAGAGGAGGACACCGGAUUCACCUGGUCCUCAAGAAGGGAAACGGAUACGUGCCCGACUACGACCCUGAGGAAGGAGCCCUCCCCCAGUCCUCCUCUUCACGCGCAGAGGAGGAAGAGGAGGAGACAUUAACCAUUACAACCGCCUCCCUCAGCCUGCAGCGAGGAGGAGGAGGAGGAGGAGGAGGAGGAGGAGGAAGAGAAAGAGAAAGAGAAAGAGAAAGAGAAAGAGGGGAGAAGAGGAGGAGGAGAGAGGGAGAAACCAAACAAAGAACCGGAGGACGAAGAGGAGAAGAAGGAGCAGGGCCUCCUGAUCUGGACCUAGACGUGGUAGAGGAUGAGGCACGAGAGGAGGAUGAGGAAGAGGAGGAGAGGAGGAGGAGGAGAAGCCAGACCGUCAAGCAGAGGGAGAAGCGAGACAACCAGAAGGAGCAGGGGAGGAGGAGCAGGAGCUUACCCAGGAUCAGUGCUCUAUCCUGGGACGCAUUGCCACCACUUAAGGAGGCGCAGGAGUCUGGAGGAGGAGUGAAGGAGAGGAGGAGGAGGAGGAGGAGGGUGACAGAGGCCGAUGAGGAGGAGAGGGGAGAGCGGAGAGAUGACAUCACCUCCCGCCACGCAAAGCAUUCUGGGAGCUCGGUUGUGGCUCAGAAGGCGGCGUUCUCCUUCCUCAUGCCGAUAGACGUCAGCAACGAGCGCCGGCGUCCGUCAGACAGCGAAUCGGCAAGUGGCUUCUCGGAGGUCGGCCUAUCGACGGCCAGCAUCGCCGAGGCCGGGCGGAGGGAGGGUUCCGAUUGGAGGAGAGCCAGGAGGCCACAGGACGACGCCCCGGGCCCCUGGCUGAAGCCGAACCCGCAGAGGCUGACGAACGUCCUGAUUGGCAGUCGGCUCAGUGGGCGGAGUGAGCUCUCUCUCUGAUUGGCUCGUGCUGAGAAUAUUCUCCUUUUUCAUUCACAGAUUUUUUUAGGCUACUUAUAAGGGCUUUUUUCUAUUGGCCUGCUGAGAGAAGAACCACCUCUUCCUGCGUCUUAUUGGAUGACAGUAGAUGGUCUGUUUCUGAUUGGACGAUGAGAAGAAAGAAGACAAAAGACUUGAUUUUUAUUGGCUGAUGGGCGGGUUUUGAGGCCUCUGAUUGGCCAAUGAUAUAACAGCUUCUCACACAGCCGACAAAUUAACUAACAAUUUGAUUUUGAUUUUACCCAUCAUCCCUCAGUGCAUCCUGAGACCUGUAUCACAGAGCCAGAUCAGCGUUAUCCUGCUAACUUUGGGCUUAACUCUGGUGUCACGACUCUGGUUAACUUCUAACCAACGAACCAAUCAGAUCACUGACAAGGACCAAUAUUGAAGAGCAAUCAAUAUUUUUAUUGGUCGAUAGAGAGAUAAAAUAAUGUUUAAAACAGAUAACAGCUGCAUAUUGAUUAUGUAAUUUAAUGUAAAAUAACCUUUAUUAACACACUGAUAGCAAAUAAAAAGUACAAUUGUCA
Molecule: RNA transcript, 5257 nt
Organism: Cyclopterus lumpus (lumpfish)
Lineage: Eukaryota; Metazoa; Chordata; Actinopteri; Perciformes; Cyclopteridae
Gene: magixa
Gene name: MAGI family member, X-linked a
Exons: 22
Source: RefSeq, a predicted model, not a curated record